CCUAGCUGUGUUGGCUUUCUAACCCGCACCACUUAUCGUGGUGGGAGACAGUGUCAGGCGGGCAGUUUGACUGGGGCGGUCGCCUCCUAAAAGGGAACGGAGGCGCUCAAAGGGUCCCUCAGAAUGGGUGGAAAUCAUUCAUAGAGUGUAAAGGCAUAAGGGAGCUUGACUGCGAGACCUACAAGUCGAGCAGGGUCGAAAGACGGACUUAGUGAUCCGGUGGUUCCGCAUGGAAGGGCCA
Molecule: ribosomal RNA, 241 nt
Filed under: Staphylococcus aureus
Lineage: Bacteria; Bacillati; Bacillota; Bacilli; Caryophanales; Staphylococcaceae
Description: partial 23S ribosomal RNA
Rfam family: Bacterial large subunit ribosomal RNA
Source: RNAcentral